This is an RNA transcript of Zea mays, 3730 nucleotides long. It is a transcript of the gene named S-adenosylmethionine decarboxylase pseudogene, with no coding region annotated. NCBI's taxonomy places the organism in Eukaryota, Viridiplantae, Streptophyta, Magnoliopsida, Poales, Poaceae. The transcript has 10 exons. The record is from RefSeq and is marked validated.
GGUCGCGCGGCCGAGGUGGAGGUGAGGACUGAGGAGAACUUCCCUUCCCGUCCCAUGGAGACGGAGGACUUCUACUCGGCGCUCCCUUCGGUUUCUCUUCUCGUCGACUCUGCUCUGUUCAUUCGAUUUGAGUUCUGCUCCUUCUCUCGGUUUCGAUCGACGGGUACAGUUUGUGCGAAGGAGGGCGCGCGCACGAACAUGAGGAGUGGUCUGCGAUUGAAUUGGACGUUUACAUUUGAAGAUAAAAUUGUUAAAAUUAAGGCGUCUUCUUGGAUUAGUUCGUGUUCUUGAAGGUCCUGCUUCGGAUCGCGUGGAUACUAACUGCUGGAUAUGUGUGACUCAACACUUUUUUGGGGGUCUAUUUUGGUUUCAGUGAAGACCGUCAACUUGUACUCUUCCGGCGCUCGCUGGCGGUGGAGGGGACGAAAGUAGAUAGCGUACGGAAGCAUCGGCAUUGUGUCGCGUAGGGGAUGGACCGUCGGAGCUGGCUGUGGCGGCGCAAGUCGACGGACAAGAGCCCCGGGGAGACCAAGACCUCGGCGUCCGAGAGGAUCACUGAUGAACAGAUUUAAUUUUUCGUGGAAGGAACAGAGGGAGUAUUAUUCAAUAAACAACAAAUUUAUAGACAUUUAUAUUUUCUUGGCUCCUGGACUAUGGUGCUGCUGUUGAUCUAUGGAGUGCCGGUUGCAUUCUUGCUGAGUUGCUAUCAGGGAAGCCUAUCAUGCCAGGACGAACUGAGGUAUUUUGGCGGUGACCUGCAAAUCAUCUCGAUGGAAGGUAGUAUUAUGCCAUCAUAAUACUACCUUAAAGUGAGGAGACGUAACGACGAGCUCGCUUUCACACAGAUGAUCAAUAUGGUCAAGGUGCGGCAUAACAAUGUGGUUCCAACCAUGGCCUUGGGAGUGCAGCAGCUGAAGAAGGAGCUGGGACGAUCAAGGAAGGUUCCAUUCGAGUUCGAUGAGAUCCACGAGUUCCUUGACCGGUUCUACAUGUCAAGGAUUGGCAUCCACAUGCUGAUAGGGCAGCAUGUGGCUUUGCAUGACCCUAAACCGGAGCCUGGUGUCAUAGGCAUCAUCAAUACAAGAUUAUCCCCAAUCCAGGUGGCUCAAGCUGCUUGUGAAGAUGCAUGUUCUGUCUGUUUAAGGGAAUAUGUAUCAACUCCUGAUAUUAACAUUUAUGGCGAUCCAAAUUUUACAUUUCCGUAAGUUCCAUAAACUUGGAUCUUUAUCGAUGGUAUCAUUUUGUGUUGCCAUCAUGAUGUCGUGAAAUGUUUUUCAAAUUCAAUUUGGAUGUAUCUUAUAGAUCACAUAAUUUGUCUGUGUACAUUUUCAUUGCCUUCAUUAUGUCAGUCCUUUUAAUUGGCUUGCUCUUCGAUAUAAGAAAAACAAGAAAAUAAAAAAACUGAAACAUUAGCUAACCUUUUGGCUUUGUCAAAUGCACAUACGUCACAUUACACCUACACCUGAUGUUAUUUGAAUUGGUGAAGAACUCUCUCCGUGCGGUGCAAGAACGGUAUAUGAACUCUGAUAAAGAUGUUCCCCCAGUUAGAAUUACAGUUGCUGAUGGAGAAGUGGAUGUCACUAUCAAGGUUAGCGAUGAAGGUGGCGGGAUACCAAGAAGCAGCCUCCCAAGAAUUUUUCACGUAUCUGUACAGCACUGCAAAGAAUCCUCCUGAGCUAGAUAGACCUAAUACUGAAGGGGUAACUAUGGAGUAUCACAUCUGUUGGAGAGAAUGGCCUUCAAGAGCACAGUGAAUCGGACCCACUUACGGUUAGUUCGUGAGGUAGAAGCAAUUGGAGGAAAUGUCUCUGCAUCAGCUUCCCGUGAACAAAUGAGCUAUACCUAUGAUGCAUUGAAGAGCUAUACACCAGAAAUGGUUGAAGUUCUCAUUGACAAUGUGAGGAAUCCAGCAUUCCUUGAUUGGGAGGUCAAAGAGCAGACCCAUGAUAGAUUAGCUUGUAUUGUUGAGAUGGAGAGAAUGCAAGUUUGAAUGGCUCUGUGCCACUUGAUGUACAUGAGAGAUUGGAUAAGAAGCUUUGUGCAUAUGGCCAACGACGCCUUCGGCAGGAGAGUCGCCAAACUUCUUGGCGAUGUCUUUCAUGUGUUGCUUUUAGUUCUUUUAAAGACUCCUAUGAGUGUUGUAUCUGACCGAGAACAAUUAUUUCGUGAUGAUUGGGGUAAUUGGGCUGCCCGGUGUAGGCAAGUCAACCAUCAUGAACGAGCUUUAUUAAUAUGAUGCAAGCUACCUGCUGCUUUCCAGUGACAAAAACGAUUCCAAGAAACCACUUCUUGUCUUCCUCCACUGGCUGUCUGUCAUCUUGCUCUAAAACAAUCGCAGUCCUGCAAGUUGUUGCUGCUGCUCCUACCCCUGCCUCUGCAAUUGGGUUUGAGGGAUAUGAGAAGCGCCUCGAGAUCAGCUUCUAUGAGGCACCUGUCUUCGCUGACCCCAACGGAAGGGGAUUGUGUGCACUCUUGCGUCCCUAGAUUUACUCUAUUUCUGACCAUGCACGGUGCACCGUUGUCUCUGAGCUAUCAAACGAGGACUUUGACUCUUAUGUCUUAUCUGAGUCAAGCCUGUUUGUCUACCCAUACAAGAUUCUGAUCAAGACCUGUGGGACUACAAAGCUUCUGCUCGGUAUUCUGAGGAUCCUUGAGCUUGCUAAAGAGCUCUCAUUGCCACUUGUUGCAGCUAAAUACUCCCGUGGGACAUUCAUAUUCCCUGAUGCACAACCUUCCCCACACAAGAACUUUGAUGAUGAGGUUACCUUCCUAAAUCACUUCUUCGAUGGCCUCAGGUUUGGUGGUAAUGCUUAUGUGAUUGGUGAUUCUGCAAAGCAUAAGCAGAAGUGGCACGUCUACUAUGCCACCACUGAGCACCCCUAAGGAGCUUGUUGUUACUCUUGAGAUGUGCAUGACUAGGCUGGACAAGAAGAGAGCUUAUGUCUUCUUCAAGACCUCUAUUGAUGGUUACACAUCUUGUGCUAAGGAUAUGACCAAGCCUUCAGUGAUUGUCAUAGCCUUCUAUUUAUUAUUUCUUCUGAAUUCGAGUUUCAAGACAAAGAACAUAUUUAAGAAUUUGACCAGAAGUCAAGCAUCAACCAUGUCGAGAUUAGCGUGCAUGAUAUGGUUAGUUCUUGUUUGCUAAGCAUAACUCUGACCAGUGGCAUCGUCAAGGAGUGCGUCGUGACCAGUGGUGCUGGCAGCAAGGCCAUGGCACUCAGGGUCCAUGGGUCGUGGGUGUGGCUUGUUCAGCGCCUACUAUUCGCGGGAGUCGGCGAGGUGCCUGCUGAACUUGGUGGAAGUGGAGUACAAUUAUGAUGCUGACAUCGACCUCGUGUUCAUCGACCUGCCCGUGCUAGAGCAGGAGCGGUACCGGUGGACACUGGAGAUUGUGGUGUAGGCCAUGACGCGUGGGCGUCGACGUCAGCGCUUGUCUUCGCGUCUGAGCCACUCUGAGUUGGAGACCAUUGCCAUUUGUGAUGUGCAUGAGAGAUGUAUUGUGGCGUCUUGUUGUAUAAUUGGUAUGGAGAGAGUAUGUUUUGCUAUGUCCGUAUUUGCAUACUCUACAUGCUCUGAAUGUUGUAUAACACUGGACAAUAAAUGAUGAUGUCCCUUCAAUAGGAAUCUCAUCUCUAAACAAUUAAUAGGAAUCUGAUCUUCUUUACUUUGAUCCUGUAUUAUUAACUUAGGAUUUUAUUAUUUCGAUUAAUAGUGUCAUUGAACUAAAUUU